RNAcentral lists this ribosomal RNA (473 nucleotides) under uncultured bacterium. RNAcentral describes it as "bacterial SSU rRNA". It matches the Rfam family "Bacterial small subunit ribosomal RNA", at positions 355 to 825 of the family's 1533-position model. The record is from RNAcentral.
UAGGGAAUAUUGCGCAAUGGACGAAAGUCUGACGCAGCCACGCCGCGUGAGUGAGGAAGGCCUUCGGGUUGUAAAGCUCUGUCGCCUGGGAAAAACGGCUAUCCGGGGAAAGUUCGGGUAGCGUGAUGGUACCAGGAAAGGAAGCACCGGCAAACUCUGUGCCAGCAGCCGCGGUAAUACAGAGGGUGCAAGCGUUGUUCGGAAUUACUGGGCGUAAAGCGUGCGUAGUCGGUAUUGAGAGUCGCGGGUGAAAUCCCAGGGCUUAACCCUGGAACUGCCUGCGAGACCUCAGUACUAGAGUGUGAGAGGGGAUAGUGGAAUACCCAGUGUAGCGGUGAAAUGCGUAGAGAUUGGGUGGAACACCGGUGGCGAAGGCGGCUAUCUGGCUCACAACUGACGAUCAGGCACGAAAGCGUGGGGAGCAAACAGGAUUAGAUACCCACGUAGUCCCUGAGCGGGCUGGCAAGGCGCAU